This 478-nucleotide ribosomal RNA is filed under the name uncultured bacterium. Its description in RNAcentral is "partial 16S ribosomal RNA". It matches the Rfam family "Bacterial small subunit ribosomal RNA", at positions 28 to 507 of the family's 1533-position model. The record is from RNAcentral.
GAUGAACGCUGGCGGCGUGCUUAACACAUGCAAGUCGAACGAGAAGUGAAGACGGAAACCUUCGGGCGGAAGGCUUUAUUUCGAGUGGCGGACGGGUGAGUAACGCGUGGGUAACCUGCCUCAUACAGGGGGAUAACAGUUGGAAACGACUGUUAAUACCGCAUAAGACCACAGCACCGCAUGGUGCGGGGGUAAAAACUCCGGUGGUAUGAGAUGGACCCGCGUUCGAUUAGCCAGUUGGCGGGGUAACGGCCCACCAAAGCGACGAUCGAUAGCCGAUCUGAGAGGAUGACCGGCCACAUUGGGACAGAGACACGGCCCAAACUCCUACGGGAGGCAGCAGUGGGGAAUAUUGCACAAUGGGGGAAACCAUGAUGCAGCGACGCCGCGUGAGUGAAGAAGUAUUUCGGUAUGUAAAGCUCUAUCAGCAGGGAAGAAAAUGACGGUACCUGAGUAAGAAGCCACGGCUAACUACGUG